Long non-coding RNA from Sinocyclocheilus anshuiensis, 106 nucleotides. RefSeq lists it as uncharacterized. NCBI's taxonomy places the organism in Eukaryota, Metazoa, Chordata, Actinopteri, Cypriniformes, Cyprinidae. The transcript is spliced from 3 exons. The record is from RefSeq and is a predicted model, not a curated record.
UUAAAAUCGCCAGUAGGGGGCAGAAAGUCACUGUUAAUAAGUGAGUCAUUGCGAUUGAACCGAGUCAUUUAAACGUUUGAUUCAUGCAAUAAAAACACUGUCAUGU